Molecule: ribosomal RNA, 176 nt
Filed under: Rhodeus sinensis
Lineage: Eukaryota; Metazoa; Chordata; Actinopteri; Cypriniformes; Acheilognathidae
Description: partial 12S rRNA
Source: RNAcentral
CACCGCGGUUAGACGAGAGGCCCCAGUUGAUAGUGCCACGGCGUAAAGGGUGGUUAAGGAAAAUAACUAAAUAAAGCUGAACAGCCCCUCGGCCGUCAUACGCUUCUAGGUGCUAGAAAACCAAAGUACGAAAGUAGCUUUAAUAACCCCCACCUGAACCCACGAAAGCUGAGAAA